Molecule: long non-coding RNA, 433 nt
Filed under: Elaeis guineensis (African oil palm)
Lineage: Eukaryota; Viridiplantae; Streptophyta; Magnoliopsida; Arecales; Arecaceae
Description: long non-coding RNA (EGUI_LNC047912)
Source: RNAcentral
UUCAGAGUUCGAGCUCGGAGGUCCGAGCUUCUCAUCACCCUGAGGAAGUCAUCUUAUCUCGGGCCUGCAUUGAGAGCUUUCUUGAAGGUCGGGGAUUUUGAUAAGAACCCCAAUCCUUGCUGGGAUGAGGUUCCCUGCAUCUUUGAUGCUGUUUGUUUUUCAUUCAUCGCUGACAUAAUCCGUCGCUUUCCUUUUUAACUCCUCUCCCCUUUCUCCUUUUUCUUUUUUGAGUGAGGGUUUUCCCUCUCUCUUGGUGGGGUCGCGAGAGCGUGAAGGGGCCGCUGAGAAGGUCCCCUUUUUCUGAUCUGGUCUUGGAUGACCGGACCUUAGUCGGUGCCAGGGCGAUGUUCUUCCCUUACUUCUGAUGUAAUCGAUCCUAGUUCGUAUUAGGACGAGGUUCUUCUCCGCUCCUAAUAGGACUGUGGGGGCACAU